AUGAAAGGAUUUAUUGAUGAUGCAAACUACUCUGUUGGCCCGUUGGAUGAAGGAACAAACCUUGGAAAUGUUAUUGAUAACUAUGUUUAUGAACAUAGUCUGAUGGGGAAAAAAUGCAUUUUUUGUGGGAGAUCUUGGAAAGAUUGUGAAGAAACACAGUCAAUGGCAGCAUGUAAGUGGCUCAGAUACAGCCAUUCUACACAGUGAAAUGCAACUCUACUCCAGCUGUGCUUGAGAUUUUGGCAGCACUUGAAACUGGAUUUGCUUGUUCCAGUAAAAAUAAAAUGGCUUUACUGCAAGAAUUGGGUGUAUCUCCAGAAAAUAUUAUUUACAUAAGUCCUUGCAAGCAAGUGUCUCAGAUAAAGUAUGCAGCAAAAAUUGGAGAGAAUAUCAUGACACGUGACAAUGAAAUUGAAUUGAAGAAGAUUGCACGUAAUCACCCAAAUGCCAAGGUCUUACUACAUAUUGCAACAUAAGAAAAUAUUGGAGGGGAAGAGGGUAACAUGAAGUUUGGUACUACACUGAAGAAAUGUAAGCAUCUCUUGGAAUGUGCUAAGGAACUUGAUGUACAAAUAAUUGGGGUUAAAUUUCAUGUUUCAAGUGCUCGCAAAGAAUCUCAAGCAUAUGUACAUGUGCUGUCUGAUGCUCAAUGUGUGUUUAACAUGGCUGGAGAAUUUGGCUUUACAAUGAACAUGUUAGACAUUGGUGGAGGCUUCAGAGGAACUUAAUUGCAAUUGGAAGAGGUUAAUCAUGUUAUCAGCUCUCUGUUGGGUAUCUACUUUCCUGAAGGAUCUGGCAUUAAGAUUAUUUCAGAACCUGGAAGCUACUAUGUGUCUUCUAUAUUUACACUUGCAGUUAAUAUCAUAGCAAAGAAAGUUGUUGAAAAUGAUAAAUUUUCCUUUGGAGUAGAAAAAAACGGAAGUGAUGAACCAGCCUUCAUGUAUCAUAUGAAUGAUGGUGUUUAUGAUUCUUUUGCAAGUAAACUGUCUGAGGACUUAAAUACCAUUCCACAGGUUCACAAGAAAUACAAGGAAGAUGAGCCUCUGUUUACAAGCAGCAUUUGGGGUUCAUCCUGUGAUGAGCUUGAUCAAAUUGUGGAAAGCUGUCUUCUUCCUGAGCUGAAUGUGGGAGAUUGGCUUAUCUUUGAAAACAUGGGAACAGAUUCUUUCCAUAAACCAUCUGCUUUUAAUGAUUUUCAGAGGCCAGCUAUUUAUUACAUGAUGCCAUUCAGUGAUUGGUAUGAGAUGCAAGAUGCUGGAAUUAAUUCAGACACAAUGAUGAAGAACUUCUUCUUUGUGCCUUCUUGCAUUCAGGUGAGCCAAGAAGACAACUUUUCCACGGAAGCUCAAACAAGCAUUAACGCUUCUUUAGAUCUGAAGUUGCAGGUUAAGCUUGUCUGGUCGACAUUCCAGUGUGGAAAAAAAUUCAAACAAUCUUAUUCUGUUAAUUCUCUUGGAAACAAAAAUUAUUAGUAAUAGCUAUUUGGGACCAGACAAAGUCAGCUUUCAUCUAGAAUUCAUUGGGGGUAAUGGGAAAUUUAGAUAAUGUAUCCAGAUUUAAACUUUACAGUUUGUCCUACCCCUUAAGCAUUUAAAAUAAAAUAUGCAACAAAAUGGAUGACUUAGUGGAGAUGGAAGCCCAUUAGUUGGGUUCCCCAUUAAACUGUUUACAUACAAGUACACAGUUUUUAUACCAAGGAUUAAAAUGUUAAACCAAGACAUGUUAAAAUGUCUUGUAAAGUUAAUGUCUUUCACCCAGAUAUAUCCAAUGUCAGUGGAAGACCAGUGUGACUUCAUUAGAUAUGUUUAGUGUGUUUAGAAUGUGUAAAUUUGUGCUUUGAACUGUAGUUUAAUAAAUGUAAAAUUGCACCAUCUUAUUUGUUGUAUUUGACCUAAUGUAACCCUUGUAUGAUUGCAAUAAAAUUUUGU
RNA transcript from Nycticebus coucang (slow loris), 1928 nucleotides. It is a transcript of the gene named antizyme inhibitor 1-like, with no coding region annotated. The transcript has a single exon. The record is from RefSeq and is a predicted model, not a curated record. Lineage: Eukaryota; Metazoa; Chordata; Mammalia; Primates; Lorisidae.